GUGUUGUAUGAAAGGAGAGAAGGUUAGCACUCCCCUUAACAAGGAUAGAAAAGACCCUUGGGACUAAAACCACACAUAUGGUUAAGGCGUUGCCACCUUCUUCAUGGGAUCUAACCACUGUUUUUA
Molecule: small nuclear RNA, 126 nt
Organism: Phodopus roborovskii (desert hamster)
Lineage: Eukaryota; Metazoa; Chordata; Mammalia; Rodentia; Cricetidae
Source: RefSeq, a predicted model, not a curated record